This 411-nucleotide ribosomal RNA is filed under the name uncultured alveolate. RNAcentral describes it as "bacterial SSU rRNA". It matches the Rfam family "Eukaryotic small subunit ribosomal RNA", at positions 378 to 796 of the family's 1831-position model. The record is from RNAcentral.
AGAUUCCGGAGAGGGAGCCUGAGAAACGGCUACCACAUCUAAGGAUGGCAGCAGGCGCGCAAAUUACCCAAUCCUGACACAGGGAGGUAGUGACAAGAAAUGACAACACGGGCUUUACAGUUUUGUGAUUGGAAUGAGUAGAAAUUAAGCCUCUUUACAAGUAUCAAUUGGAGGGCAAGUCUGGUGCCAGCAGCCGCGGCAAUUCCAGCUCCAAUAGCGUAUAUUAAAGUUGUUGCAGUUAAAAAGCUCGUAGUUGAAUUGCUGCAAAAUGCGGCAUCUUGCGGCUCUAGGGUUGUCUUGGUGUUUGCUUCUGCUUUCUGGCGGCUGCCUCUUGAUGCUUUAUUGUAUCAGGGGUUGUCGCUGCCGUUUUUACUUUGAGAAAAUUAGAGUGUUUCAAGCAGGCUGUUGCCU